This 852-nucleotide ribosomal RNA is filed under the name Dactylonectria torresensis. RNAcentral's name for it is "LSU rRNA". It matches the Rfam family "Eukaryotic large subunit ribosomal RNA", at positions 69 to 953 of the family's 3401-position model. The record is from RNAcentral. Lineage: Eukaryota; Fungi; Ascomycota; Sordariomycetes; Hypocreales; Nectriaceae.
CAGGGAUUGCCCUAGUAACGGCGAGUGAAGCGGCAACAGCUCAAAUUUGAAAUCUGGCCUUCGGGUCCGAGUUGUAAUUUGUAGAGGAUGCUUUUGGUGAGGUGCCUUCCGAGUUCCCUGGAACGGGACGCCAUAGAGGGUGAGAGCCCCGUCUGGUUGGACACCGAUCCUCUGUAAAGCUCCUUCGACGAGUCGAGUAGUUUGGGAAUGCUGCUCUAAAUGGGAGGUAUAUGUCUUCUAAAGCUAAAUAUUGGCCAGAGACCGAUAGCGCACAAGUAGAGUGAUCGAAAGAUGAAAAGCACUUUGAAAAGAGAGUUAAAAAGUACGUGAAAUUGUUGAAAGGGAAGCGCUCAUGACCAGACUUGGGCUUGGUUGAUCAUCCAGGGUUCUCCCUGGUGCACUCUUCCAGUUCAGGCCAGCAUCAGUUCGCUGUGGGGGAUAAAGGCUUUGGGAAUGUGGCUCCCUCGGGAGUGUUAUAGCCCAUUGUGUAAUACCCUGUGGUGGACUGAGGUUCGCGCAUUCGCAAGGAUGCUGGCGUAAUGGUCAUCAGCGACCCGUCUUGAAACACGGACCAAGGAGUCGUCUUCGUAUGCGAGUGUUCGGGUGUUAAACCCCUACGCGUAAUGAAAGUGAACGCAGGUGAGAGCUUCGGCGCAUCAUCGACCGAUCCUGAUGUUCUCGGAUGGAUUUGAGUAAGAGCAUACGGGGCCGGACCCGAAAGAAGGUGAACUAUGCCUGUAUAGGGUGAAGCCAGAGGAAACUCUGGUGGAGGCUCGCAGCGGUUCUGACGUGCAAAUCGAUCGUCAAAUAUGGGCAUGGGGGCGAAAGACUAAUCGAACCUUCUAGUAGCUG